Drosophila sulfurigaster albostrigata is the source of this 310-nucleotide long non-coding RNA. RefSeq lists it as uncharacterized. NCBI's taxonomy places the organism in Eukaryota, Metazoa, Arthropoda, Insecta, Diptera, Drosophilidae. The transcript is spliced from 2 exons. The record is from RefSeq and is a predicted model, not a curated record.
CAUCGCCAGGCACGCCACCAAACGGGACAUUUGUUUGAUCAUGUUUUUAUGGGAUAGCUUUCCAUUCUCAAGUUUGAAAAUAGUAGUUUGGGCCAGUGAUCGCAGGCCAGGAACACGUUAUGUUGGUUAAAAUUUUAAAUGUUGAUUGAAGCGAUUUACUACUACUAUUAUCCAUUGACUGUAUUAUAUAUGCGUGAAUUGUUGGUACUUGAUAAAAUAAAUUAAUAAAAGAAAAAGCCCGUUAAAAUUGCAAAGGUAACGAAAAUAUAAUUGUAAAAAUUGUAAUGUUAAAAUUAUUCUAGCGAUGUAA